RNAcentral lists this ribosomal RNA (253 nucleotides) under uncultured bacterium. Its description in RNAcentral is "partial 16S ribosomal RNA". It matches the Rfam family "Bacterial small subunit ribosomal RNA", at positions 524 to 776 of the family's 1533-position model. The record is from RNAcentral.
UACGUAGGGUGCGAGCGUUGUCCGGAAUUACUGGGCGUAAAGCGUGCGCAGGCGGUUCGCCAAGUCAGGUGUGAAAUCCCCGGGCUCAACCUGGGAACUGCAUCCGAAACUGCCUUGCUCGAGCAUGGGAGAGGGAAGUGGAAUUUCCGGUGUAGCGGUGAAAUGCGUAGAUAUCGGAAGGAACAUCAGUGGCGAAGGCGACUUCCUGGACCAAUACUGACGCUCAGGUGCGAAAGCGUGGGGAGCAAACAGG